AGGCAUCAUAAAAACAUUAUAUCUCAUACAAGACCAUGUAUACAGGGAAUACAACAGACUCUAGUCAAGCACAUUAUUAAACUUACAUUACAUUACAUCUCAUACUUUUACAUUACCAACAAACCAUGUCCACAGCUAAGCUAUUACAUAAACUUCUCUUACUCUGAUGACUUCUCUAUCUACUCUGCACCUGCAAGACUGGGGUUAAGGGAGAGGGGGUGAGCUAUAAAGCCCAAUGAGCAGAAACUAAAAACAUUUGCUUUAAUUCCUCCAUUUUUAGGUAUAUUAUUAUUCAUUUUAUUAUUAUUAUUAUUAUCAUAUUAUUUAACUUUUUCUUUCUUUUUCUUAAUCAUGCUUUCAUGAAAUGCAACACAUCACAGCUAAUCACAUAAAGGAUGGUAUUGUCACCAUUAGUCCUCAACAUCUCCAAAUGCCAGGGGCGUAGAAUGGGCCUCACUGGUCUUUCUCUUACAUAACAUAACAUUCUAAAGUGCCAGGGGCGUAGAAUGGGCCUCGCUGGUCUUUCUCUU
Molecule: long non-coding RNA, 530 nt
Filed under: Manihot esculenta (cassava)
Lineage: Eukaryota; Viridiplantae; Streptophyta; Magnoliopsida; Malpighiales; Euphorbiaceae
Description: long non-coding RNA (MESC_LNC004118)
Source: RNAcentral